Molecule: ribosomal RNA, 253 nt
Filed under: uncultured bacterium
Lineage: Bacteria
Description: partial 16S ribosomal RNA
Rfam family: Bacterial small subunit ribosomal RNA
Source: RNAcentral
UACAGAGGUCCCGAGCGUUGUUCGGAUUCAUUGGGCGUAAAGGGUGCGUAGGCGGCGGGGCAAGUCUGAUGUGAAAUCCCGGGGCUCAACCCCGGAACUGCAUUGGAUACUGCUUUGCUUGAGUACUGGAGAGGGAACUGGAAUUUACGGUGUAGCAGUGAAAUGCGUAGAGAUCGUAAGGAAGGCCAGUGGCGAAGGCGAGUUCCUGGACAGUGACUGACGCUGAGGCACGAAGGCCAGGGGAGCAAACGGG